RNAcentral lists this unclassified non-coding RNA (516 nucleotides) under uncultured Glomeromycotina. RNAcentral describes it as "SSU rRNA". It matches the Rfam family "Eukaryotic small subunit ribosomal RNA", at positions 591 to 1113 of the family's 1831-position model. Lineage: Eukaryota; Fungi; Glomeromycota. The record is from RNAcentral.
CCAAUAGCGUAUAUUAAAGUUGUUGCAGUUAAAAAGCUCGUAGUUGAAUUUCGGGAUUAAUAUGCUGGUCGUGCCAUUGGUACGUACUAGUAUUAUUGAUUUCUCCCUUCUGAUGAAUCAUGAUGUCAUUAAUUUGAUGUCAUGGGGAAUCAGGACUGUUACUUUGAAAAAAUUAGAGUGUUUAAAGCAGGCUCGCGCUUGAAUACAUUAGCAUGGAAUAAUGAAAUAGGACGUUUGAUUCUAUUUUGUUGGUUUCUAGGAUUGACGUAAUGAUUAAUAGGGAUAGUUGGGGGCAUUAGUAUUCAAUUGUCAGAGGUGAAAUUCUUGGAUUUAUUGAAGACUAACUACUGCGAAAGCAUUUGCCAAGGAUGUUUUCAUUAAUCAAGAACGAAAGUUAGGGGAUCGAAGACGAUCAGAUACCGUCGUAGUCUUAACCAUAAACUAUGCCGACUAGGGAUCGGAUGAUGUUAAUUAUGACUCAUUCGGCGCCUUACGGGAAACCAAAGUGUUUGGGUC